UUUGCAGCAAUUGCUGAGCUAGUGGAUAAUGCUGUUGAUGAGGUCCAAAAUGGUGCAACUUUUGUUAAGGUUGACAAGCUUAAGAACAAGAAGGAUAAUUCACCUGUGCUAUGCUUUCUAGAUGAUGGUGGUGGAAUGGAUCCUAACUCACUACAGAAGUGCAUGAGCUUAGGUUAUUCUUCAAAGAAGUCAAAGACAAC
Long non-coding RNA from Vicia villosa (hairy vetch), 200 nucleotides. RefSeq lists it as uncharacterized. The transcript is spliced from 3 exons. The record is from RefSeq and is a predicted model, not a curated record. Lineage: Eukaryota; Viridiplantae; Streptophyta; Magnoliopsida; Fabales; Fabaceae.